GACGAACGCUGGCGGCGUACUUAACACAUGCAAGUCGAACGGAAAGGCCCUGCUUUUGUGGGGUGCUCGAGUGGCGAACGGGUGAGUAACACGUGAGUAACCUGCCCUUGACUUUGGGAUAACUUCAGGAAACUGGGGCUAAUACCGGAUAGGAGCUCCUGCUGCAUGGUGGGGGUUGGAAAGUUUCGGCGGUUGGGGAUGGACUCGCGGCUUAUCAGCUUGUUGGUGGGGUAGUGGCUUACCAAGGCUUUGACGGGUAGCCGGCCUGAGAGGGUGACCGGCCACAUUGGGACUGAGAUACGGCCCAGACUCCUACGGGAGGCAGCAGUGGGGAAUAUUGCACAAUGGGCGGAAGCCUGAUGCAGCAACGCCGCGUGCGGGAUGACGGCCUUCGGGUUGUAAAACGCUUUCGCCUGUGACGAAGCGUGAGUGACGGUAAUGGGUAAAGAAGCACCGGCUAACUACGUG
This 468-nucleotide ribosomal RNA is filed under the name uncultured bacterium. RNAcentral describes it as "partial 16S ribosomal RNA". It matches the Rfam family "Bacterial small subunit ribosomal RNA", at positions 28 to 507 of the family's 1533-position model. The record is from RNAcentral.